Molecule: non-coding RNA, 25 nt
Filed under: Cricetulus griseus (Chinese hamster)
Lineage: Eukaryota; Metazoa; Chordata; Mammalia; Rodentia; Cricetidae
Source: RNAcentral
UAAGCAUACUGGAAAGUGUGCUUGG